Molecule: ribosomal RNA, 605 nt
Filed under: uncultured bacterium
Lineage: Bacteria
Description: bacterial SSU rRNA
Rfam family: Bacterial small subunit ribosomal RNA
Source: RNAcentral
UGCAGUCGAGCGCGAAAACACUUCGGUGUGAGUAGAGCGGCGGACGGGUGAGUAAUGCUUGGGAAUCUGCCCAGUAGUGGGGGAUAACGUGUGGAAACGCACGCUAAUACCGCAUACGUCCUACGGGAGAAAGCAGGGGAUCUUCGGACCUUGCGCUAUUGGAUGAGCCCAAGUCGGAUUAGCUAGUUGGUGGGGUAAUGGCCUACCAAGGCGACGAUCCGUAGCUGGUCUGAGAGGAUGAUCAGCCACACUGGGACUGAGACACGGCCCAGACUCCUACGGGAGGCAGCAGUGGGGAAUAUUGCACAAUGGGCGAAAGCCUGAUGCAGCCAUGCCGCGUGUGUGAAGAAGGCUCUAGGGUUGUAAAGCACUUUCAGUAGGGAGGAAAAGCUUAAGGUUAAUAACCUUGAGCCCUGACGUUACCUACAGAAGAAGCACCGGCAAACUCCGUGCCAGCAGCCGCGGUAAUACGGAGGGUGCGAGCGUUAAUCGGAAUUACUGGGCGUAAAGCGCGCGUAGGUGGUUUGAUAAGCUAGCUGUGAAAGCCCCGGGCUCAACCUGGGAACUGCAGUUAGAACUGUCUGACUAGAGUAUAGUAGAGGGUG